GACGAACGCUGGCGGCGUGCCUAAUACAUGCAAGUAGAACGCUGAAGGAGGAGCUUGCUUCUCUGGAUGAGUUGCGAACGGGUGAGUAACGCGUAGGUAACCUGCCUGGUAGUGGGGGAUAACUAUUGGAAACGAUAGCUAAUACCGCAUAAUAGCAGUUGUUGCAUGAUAACUGUUUGAAAGGUGCAAUUGCACCGCUACCAGAUGGACCUGCGUUGUAUUAGCUAGUUGGUGGGGUAACGGCUCACCAAGGCGACGAUACAUAGCCGACCUGAGAGGGUGAUCGGCCACACUGGGACUGAGACACGGCCCAGACUCCUACGGGAGGCAGCAGUAGGGAAUCUUCGGCAAUGGACGGAAGUCUGACCGAGCAACGCCGCGGGAGUGAAGAAGGUUUUCGGAUCGUAAAGCUCUGUUGUAAGAGAAGAACGAGUGUGAGAGUGGAAAGUUCACACUGUGACGGUAUCUUACCAGAAAGGGACGGCUAACUACGUG
This 495-nucleotide ribosomal RNA is filed under the name uncultured bacterium. Its description in RNAcentral is "partial 16S ribosomal RNA". It matches the Rfam family "Bacterial small subunit ribosomal RNA", at positions 28 to 507 of the family's 1533-position model. The record is from RNAcentral.